This 1132-nucleotide long non-coding RNA is filed under the name Anas platyrhynchos platyrhynchos (common mallard). RNAcentral's name for it is "lncRNA (ENSAPLG00000023547.1)". Lineage: Eukaryota; Metazoa; Chordata; Aves; Anseriformes; Anatidae. The record is from RNAcentral.
UGAAGUCUUAGGCUGAAAUGCCACAAAAGGGUUUGUAAUUCAAUUUCAUGUAGUCUAAAAUCUGACCACAGCUUUACAUAUUUAUUUAAUUAUUUGUUUGUUUGUUUGUUUUAUUUUUUACACUGCAGUAGUCCCUGAAGCUUCAUUCAAGUCUGGACCCAUUCUCAAGUUCUUUUUCCCAAACUGUGGCCCAGAUCAUACCCUUAAAUUCUGCAGAUGCACAGAGAAAAGCAAGAAGAGAACUAUCAGACACAGCAGAAGUCUGUGCUUUGCUGUGAAGAAGCUGUUUUCACGGCCCUGUGCUCUGCUGAGCUGAGAUGGGUGGAUACUGUAAGGCUGAUGAACAAGGACUGCUCUUAGAGCAUUUUGAGACAAAUGCUCUAAUUGCUGUGAGAGUUCAACAUUAGAGUCCACAGAGUGAUUUUGUUACAUGCCAACUACAUUCUCUUCAGAGAUGAACCUGGAAGCUCUGCUCCAGUUGUGCCUCCAACAUGCACCAGCACCAAUGAGGAUAUAAAGACCCGAGCCAGUGACUGGUCUUUCAGACAGCUUCAAACCACCUUUGUGGUGGCUUUCAGAUCAGAAGACCAAGCUACAACUUCCUCAAAAUUCCUGGACUACUUAUAUGGAAAAGACAUAGGAACUCUGUUAUAACAGCUCUCAUAAACAUUCAUUCUUGAGUUCAUACCAAAGCAUCUGCUACAUCACAAAUUGCUGAACAAGCUUAUUGGUUACCUAAAGCCAAAAACUGGACUCCGUGCAAGUGACUGAAAGCAGCAGACACCUAAAGUUCUGCUUCAGGACACAUCAGAAGCCUCCUGGUCCUGAUAGUGGCAUCCAGAAAGACAACUGGAUUGAUACAUGAGCACAAGCCCAUCCACACACCAAAGCUCACUCCUGGCAGAUGUCCUCUGAACAUGCCUGCUUCAUGGAGAUUCAUGCAAGGCACAAAGAAAGGAAGAGGUCUCAGGGGUGGAGACCCCUAAGUGUGCAAAAAAAAAAAAAAAAAAAAUUUUAAGGCAUAAGUCCCUGCAGAAUCAUUACAGUGAGGAGUCAGGAGUCGAAACAGGGAAUAGAAACAGUGGUUAGGAGGAAGCUCUGAAGAUCUCUUGUCCCACCUCCCAUGUGAAUU